Molecule: ribosomal RNA, 253 nt
Filed under: uncultured bacterium
Lineage: Bacteria
Description: partial 16S ribosomal RNA
Rfam family: Bacterial small subunit ribosomal RNA
Source: RNAcentral
UACGUAGGGUGCGAGCGUUAAUCGGAAUUACUGGGCGUAAAGCGUGCGCAGGCGGCUUGCCAAGUCAGAUGUGAAAGCCCCGGGCUCAACCCGGGAACUGCGUUUGAAACUGGCAGGCUAGAGUUUGGCAGAGGGGGGUGGAAUUCCACGUGUAGCAGUGAAAUGCGUAGAGAUGUGGAGGAACACCGAUGGCGAAGGCAGCCCCCUGGGCCAAAACUGACGCUCAGGCACGAAAGCGUGGGGAGCAAAAAGG